This 230-nucleotide ribosomal RNA is filed under the name uncultured bacterium. RNAcentral's name for it is "partial 16S ribosomal RNA". It matches the Rfam family "Bacterial small subunit ribosomal RNA", at positions 109 to 339 of the family's 1533-position model. The record is from RNAcentral.
AGUAAUGCAUAAGCAAUCUGCCCUUAAGUCUGGGAUAACUCUCCGAAAGGAGGGCUAAUACCGGAUAUUCUCUUUUUAUCGCAUGAUUUAAAGAGGAAAGAUCCGUCGCUUAAGGAGGAGCUUAUGUCUGAUUAGUUUGUUGGUGAGGUAAUGGCUUACCAAGACUACGAUCAGUAGCUGGUCUGAGAGGACGAUCAGCCACACUGGGACUGAGACACGGCCCAGACUCC